CCACUUUCAGGUGUGGUUACAUGUGAUAAAACUCAAAAAAUGUUGUACUGUUUACACUUAUAUUUAGUGUUUUCCACUUAAGAUCAGAUGCCGGGUGUAAAUGGGGUCUUCCUAGGAGCCAUUUCUUGUUUUCUAUUUAUAAGAAAAAGACAGUAGCAUAGUUGGCAACAGUUUAUUUUCAAGAGUGAAAAAUUAUUUUUGCAUAUAAAUAGAUCUGUGUCGCGCUUCUGCUAGGAGACAGUCUAGCUCACACCGGGGUUCAAUAAUUAAUUUCUGUGUUGAGAGUUUCAGAAGCGUGCUGAUUGGGCUGAUUUUCUCUUCGUCUUUUCCUCUUUUUUUCUCCUUCUCUGUUAUGAUACAAAGGAGGCUGUUUGAAGUAAUUUGUCCCAAAGAGAGUGGCUUGGAAUACCAUGCAAGCUUUGAUUUAGCAAAGCAAAUUUAAUUUUGUUUGCUUUAUGCAAACCAGCCAGGACUGAAGGGGCUUUCUCUGAUUUCGCUUUGGGGUGGGGGAGGUAUCCAGUUCUAAUGGGAUCAUGAGAGCAGCAUGUACAUGAACGGAUGUGGUGUGUAAUAAAGCACAUGGUUCAAAAGUACAGCGCCCAUCCCCCUCUUCUGCACCUUGAAAUAAUUGUCUGUGUUGUCUUAUUUUUGUACAUUUGAAACCAAUAAUGAAAGCAAUUCUGGCUUAUUUUGUUUUGCUUUUGGAGAGCUACCUGAUUUGAAUGUUUCCUAAUAUGCUUAGCUAAUCUUAUGGUUGUGUGUCUAGCUGUGGUUAUGGAUCUAUUGGGCAUGGUUCACAAACCUUUACGACUGCUCUCUACGUGCUAUUGUGUUCCAGCCCAUAUAGCAAGGCUUUCUCUUCAGGGUCAAACCGUCUACUGUUUGUGAAUUGUCUCAAUCAGGAUGGUACAAGCAGCCACUCAGGUUGGAUUCUCUGUAACAGCCCUUAAUAAUGGAGGUUUUAUAAUGAAACCAAACAAAAACCAUCCCCAAGGUCACAACCUUAAAAACACUGGGUCUCCAGCACUUACAUACUUUGGUUGUAGCAUAUACUUAAAAGCGUUUUAGUCUGCCAUUCGUACCUGAACGGGGAAAAAAUAUGAUGUAGAAAAUGGGUUGUCCACUUUUGUUGAAAGACUGUUCAAGAAAUAAUGGGUGAAUAAAGCAAAAGCCCAUUUUUAAUCGUUGUAUAUAUAAAUAUACAGAGAAACCUCUCCUUGACUAGCCUCCGUCCUUUUGUUAUACAAAACUUGGCCAAUAUCUUUCAAGCUCUCGCCGCAGUUUAAAGGUCUUAAUUGGAUUCCAUCAAUAUAUUGCUUGACACGACCCCAGGUCUGCCACAUUCCCUCUCUACUCGCCUCAUUCAUUCCGUCAGGCUUUGUAAUGCCGUGAAUAUUCUUGGUUAAAUUGACGGUUUUCAGAGCUAUUAUUUAAGCCUGAUUGGACCGCCAAAGCGUGUUUUAAAUUAAGUGAAUGUCAAGAAAGAAAGAAAGAAAGAGAGAAAAUAGCAUGUUACCUCUACGCACGGGUCCGUGUAAAGUAUCUCGCUCUCUGUAGGCCGACUCGAGUGUAAAACUUUGUAAGUAUGUGUAUGAAAGGUACAAAUGACUAGGUUAUUGAAAUAGAAUUAGGCUGCCAGGCUUUGAGUAACAGUCAGCCCUGACGCUCUCUCACUCUCCUUUUUCUUUCUUUGUUCCAUGGCCAUUGACUGGCAUGGAGAGGCGUUUGCUUGUCAAGACAGCAGUGAGUGUGCCUGAUACUGACCCAAUAAAAGGAGCAGACUACCACAUCCAUGACAGGUGGUGGAAAGUGUUUCACUAUUAACUUGGAGGCUUAUAGAUGACAGAAAAACACGUGUGCAGGAGCAUGUGCAGGGUCACGAGAAACCAUUUCCUGCCUUAACUGACUUGCCUGUGACACAAGAGGGUUUGCGCGGACAACAUCUCAUCAGCCCCAAAUUUACAUUGAAGAGGCAGGAGCCUUAUGGAUCGUAGGAACGAGAAGGAGAAAUAAAUUGGAGAGUAGGAUAAAUCGAUGCUUGACGGAGAGGCAAAUAGACCUUCCAACCUCAGUCCAAACGCUGAGCUUUGGUUAUUUUCCUUAGGGCUGUAUUGGAUUCGUUGACCGCAGCUGAGGAGAGGGCUCAGACAAUACUUGGCCUACAAAUGAUGUCCUUUAUGUUUAUCCAUUAAUGUGUAAAGAACCUCUACCAUUUUGGGGUGGACAUUGGUCCAUUCUUGUGGAAGGGGUGUCUGGAGUUUCAAAAAGCAAUGUCAAAUAGGCCAUAAUUUCACUGUGCUGCAUUUGGUUUGUUGCUAAUGCUUAAAUCUUAUUUUCCAUAUUCAAAUACCUUCCAAUUUUGUCUUCAGGGAUCAAAAGAAAUGCAUUCAAAUCAUGACUUGAACACCAUUUAUAGGGCUGACACUCAAAACACUACAGUAAACAUCAAGGAACAGUCGAGAUCACCUUGUCUCAAGUCUCAGCCACAGUGGAAAUAUAUCCAAAAGGUCAAACUUUAGUGAGCAAAUAUGUGCAUGUGUGGAUUUGUUUGCUUUUGCGUGUGUGCAUGAGAUGCGAGUUGAAGAGUCUGAACUUACAAAUGUAUAAUUUAUUGAUGUAAAACCUUACAAAUUAACAAAUACAAUGUGUUAUAUAAAGCAACUGUUCUCUUCACAAGACUAACGAUUAAAGAUUGGGUUGAGAAUAAAGUUUGGGAAUGACAUGUGGCUGAGUAAAUGAUAACAGAAUUUUCAUUUGUUGGUGAAUUAGCCCUUUAAGACCUACAUAGAUUAAAUCUCUUUUAUGUAAACAUCAAAAAAUAACUCUUUACUGUAUGUCACUAAUAUAUCUUAUGUAUUUUUCUCUACUCUGUGCAUUUAUAUAAUGAUUAUUAAAUGAUUAUACUAAGUGUUACUAUUAGAAGCAUUCCAGGCCAUGAUGACUAUUUUAUGGUCAUCUUAUGCAAUCCAUGCUACAUUUAGGAUCAUAAGGUGAUUUACACGUUUCCAGAUGUAAUUUCCAAGAGAACUUUCAUCUGUAAUCUUCGUCCAAAUUUGCAGUGUUGUUCCACUGCGGGGUUCUGCUGCAAUAUUGAUGUUUCAAUUAGAACAGCGUUACAUACUGCAGCCUCGUAACAUGGUGCGUCUCCAACCAUCUGCUGCACUUCCACAUAUGAAGAACGAGACACGUGGGGCUAAUCGAGCUGCACAUGAGCGAUGGGACUAGCAGCUCAUUCACAUCUCUAUACAGAUCUGAAGGGCCGGUAUCUCAGGUAGGCAGCCUGCCUACAAUGCCUUCAAUUAUGAAUGUUGACUCAUUAUAACUGUCCCAAAGUUUGUGCUGCUAAUCUACUCUCAUUUUGUCAAGAUAACUAGAUGCACCUAUAGAAAGGACGUAGCUACUUUUUGUGAAGUAACUUUUUGCCACUUGAGAAAGAUUUUUUUUUUUUUAGGAUUUUAUAUUUCAGUGUCUUUAAGUAAAACUGCAAAUUUCACUAAAGGCAGCCCUAAAGGUGCACACAUUAAGUUGUUAUUUACAUUUAGCUGUCUGUUAUUCAUCCUAAUAGGACCAGUGGUUUUGACUUUUAUACUGACUACUAUUGGUCUGGAGGCAUGAAGUUUGCUUAGGUGUCACUGUUGUUAUUAUAACUGUUUACUUAGCUAUUUUGGAAGACUGACUUGAUUAAAUGUGAUGUGUUCACUCAUUAUAUGAGUGUAUAGCCUAUAAGUGAUGUUCAUUUAUGUUAACUAAAAUACAAAUAGCAAAUAUUUAAAUUAGCAAAACAAUAAAAUCUGUUUAAUUACUUAAACCACAGUCACAAAAAAGUUAAGGGGGAAAAAAUUAGGCUAAUGAAAUAUUGCAAGCGUGAUAUUUUGCAAUCCUUACCAUUUAGUUUCGUCCCCAACCUGUUGUUCACUAGAAAACAUGUUGAAGUAAUUAAAG
Carassius auratus (goldfish) is the source of this 3942-nucleotide long non-coding RNA. RefSeq lists it as uncharacterized. The record is from RefSeq and is a predicted model, not a curated record. The transcript is spliced from 4 exons. Lineage: Eukaryota; Metazoa; Chordata; Actinopteri; Cypriniformes; Cyprinidae.